This 246-nucleotide ribosomal RNA is filed under the name Triticum aestivum (bread wheat). RNAcentral describes it as "partial small subunit ribosomal RNA". Lineage: Eukaryota; Viridiplantae; Streptophyta; Magnoliopsida; Poales; Poaceae. The record is from RNAcentral.
AUGGCCAUGGAGAGCGGCUCGGAGGCGGCGGCGGCGGCGGGCUACUACGGCGGCACCUGCGGGUGGGAGACGCCGAAGCGGGAGGAGUGCCGCAUCCUGGCGACGCUGCCCUGCCCCGCGGCGCCGAGGAAGGCCGCGGCCGACUUCGGCACGCCCCGGCGCCCGCCCAAGAACGGCUACUUCCAGCCGCCGGACCUCGAGGCCCUCUUCGCGCUCGCCCCGCGCCGGCAGGCCUCGUGCGCGUGA